CCCCCCCCCUCCCCCCGGUUUGACACCCCCUCCCGCCCCGCUCCGCCCUCCUCCCCGCCCCGCCGGUUGUCCCUCCGUAAACGGAAGCCGAGGAGGGACGAAGGAGCCGGGGAGGAGGUUGGAGCAGCGCGAUGGGGGACUCCAAAGUGAAGGUGGCGGUGCGCGUCCGCCCCACGAACCGGCGAGCGGCCGAGAGUCAUGAAUGCCUCACAACUGGUGACUGCAGAGCUAGAAAAUGGAAUGACAACAGCUCAGCAGCCGCUUUAGAGACAGCCAGCGUGGCUUCGCCGAGGGCAAAUCGUGCCCGACUAAUCCAGCGGCCUUCCAUGAUGGAGUGACGGCAUUAGAGGACGAGGGAAGAGCUACGGAUGUCACCUGCCUGGAGGACGUCAGUGAGGCACGGACAGUUUUGCAGGCAUCCAUGAGUGAAGGACCAGAGUACCUCAAUCUGUCCCUUCAACAAUCCUUCCCCGCUCCAUGUUUUCAAUUGGAAACCGCACCAGUGAGCUCCUAAAUCCAGGUAUCAUGUACACCAGUGAAGCGGAGGUCUGGAAGCAGAGACAGAAGCAAGGUCUAAGUAUCAGAGCUGGGCUUCAUUUUCCCAGCGGCGCCUCUGCAGAAGUGGAGCAAAACCAACAUGAUUCAGCAGAUGAAGCUGUAAAAUAUUCCAACCUUUGAAGUCAAGGCAGUUCAGCCCUGACCAUUCAUGUAUCUCAGAAGUACUAGGAGAUAAACGCGGGAAACAUUACACAGCUCGACUGAAAAGCAAGAUAAACCUGAAGGCAAACUUAUCGUACCAGAAUAAAACUCUUUACUCCUGGGACUGGCCAAAACAACAAUCUAUGAAAAAUGCAAAACAGCAACAGGUCUUGUUUUUAAACUGUUUCGCCAAAUAUUUUUGUGCUGAGAACCUGAUCACUGAAGAUGCUAAAGUGCUGCUGGCUGCCCUGAAUGCCUCCCAGUCUCUGACUGGGACUGUCCCAGUUGGUGCUCAGCUUCUUGCAGAAGUGGACCCCUUAAGAGUUUGCAUACAACUAACUAAACACUAGUAAGAUCCUCUGUUUUAGUUUUCCAACACCUGAAUGAUUUAUGGGCAGAAAGUAGGUCUACUGCAAAUUCAUAAUUGAUGCGUCUCUUUUGAUACGCAGUCUAACAAAUGAAAAAAAAUAUUUAAAAUACAAUUGAUUUGUUACUUGUUAUGGACUGGAAGAAGACUUCCAAAAGACUGUCAUGUUUUCUGGCUUGCCCUGAGAUACAGUUCUAUCUAGAAGAUCCGAGAUCCAAACCAUUCAUACCUUCACCUAAAUAAAAACAAAAGCCAUCUUCUUCCCUUGGGUCCUGGUGAUACACACACCCCAGCCAUCCCAGUUAUGUGGGACACAUUAAACUGUUUUGACUUGGUUACUUCUAAACAAAACCAAUGAAAUUCAGUUGCUUAUAAAAAAAUGAGACGGAGGCCCUCUUUUUCUCUCCUCCACAUCACUGCUUUAAUCCCUGCUAUGACCAGGUGGGUGUAGCAAUGACUGUAGCUCCUCAACCUGAUGAAAAUAGUGUUGCAUUCAGAAAUUCGAUAAAUGAAUGGGAGGGACAAGUAAUGCUUCCCCCCCCCCCCCCCCCCCCCCCCCGGAUGUUUUGUUAAUUAAAUUAGCAUUUAAAUAGCCAGAGCUAAUCUGGGAAGUCAGGCCCUCAUUACAGUAACUAGGAAGGGGGAAAAGAGCUGCAGACAAUUCCCUACAAGAUGGGGUUAAGUUGGCGUUUCACAAACUAUUUGCCCAGCCUGUCCCUCCCAAGUGAAAGCUGCCACCCCCCCCACCCCACCCCCCCUUUCCUCCCAGAAUAAUUAGCAUGUUCCAGUGCUGUGAAUGGAAACAAUAUCCUCCCUCCAAGCUGUGCCCCUCCAGGGAGAUGCUUCCCACAGAUUGUGAAACUCUGAGCCAGGGAAAGGGCUUGCCGAGGAAUUCACAGUGGGGUAAUUACACUGAGGUAGCUUGUGCCCGGUGCAAGAUAAGUUGCAUUACUGUAAUUCAUUGCAGGAGGCAGGGGCUCGCAUAAAGGAAAUGUCCAGAGGCAAGACUGCAGAGCCAUGAGAAGUCAUCGCCUUCCCAGAGCCCCGAUAAAACCCGACGUUGAAGCUGAGGAUGGUUCUUUGGCCUCCGAGGAUGUCUCCGUCUUCAGAGAAGUUUGCAGAACGUAGCAACGAUCACGUGCGAAUCUGGUUUCUCUUUGGCAAUUAGAAUGGAAGAAAGGUUGAAAGGGUGACUCAACAGAAAAAACAUCACCCUCCACUUGCGGCUCAUCAUGCCCAGCUGUAAAGCGGGGAUUAUAUUUACCUCCAUUGCAAAGUACUCGGUUUCAGAAGACGUUGGUGCGGUUUGCUGAGGCCCCGGCUGGAAAAUACCACAAGAAGUUCAAAGCCCGGUUUCAUCCUGUAAUUGGAUCCUCAAGUCCACAAGUGCAAGAACCAACUGUGCGGGCUGACAGCAGGUCCUCCCCUCUUCCAACAAGAACCCCACCACAACACGGGGCUGUGGGGCUGAGCUGCAAGCGUGGCAUACCCAGGAGCUGCUACUUUCUGCUGCUAUGCACAAAAAAAUGUUGUUUAAAGCUUUUGCCACCCUGUUUGAUCUGACCUGCUGUUAUUUUUUCUUUCUUUUUUUUUUUUUUUUAACUCUAAGACAUCUUCUUAACUCUCAUGCUCACUUGGGAUGCUCUUAAGAACAUGGACUUUAAUCCCAGUGUUACUUAAAUACCAAUUUAAUAUUUGUUUUCUCUCUGCCUUGACAAGAUAUUCCUCAGGUCAAGCAGGCAUGAAAUGAUAGAUAUUGAGUGCAAUUCUUCUGGGCAAGAAGAGCUACCUUCUAAGAUCUUAUCUCAAAACCACUUGGAAAUGUGUUCUUUAUUUAUUUAUGCCAUAAAAUCUCAUUCGAUGUUGAAGGCCCAAAGGAUUACAAUUCUGAAUUUGUUGGUUUGCUGUUUUGUUUUCUUUUUUUUUUUCCCCCCGUCCUUGCUGAAAUCUGGCCUUUCAAAAUAACACAGAGAGAAUCUUUGUUUUGAUCUAAAAUAGCAGCUGCAAGGGCUUUUAAAUGACCAUUUAAAUGAGAUUUCUUUUUUUGCAUCUUCGCAUUAUAGUUUCAUUCUCGGUCUCUGAGAUCAGUAGCUGCGGUUGAGCAGCCGAGCCGUCUAAUGGGAAUAAAUUGUAAUAUUGUUCCAA
Long non-coding RNA from Tyto alba (common barn owl), 3211 nucleotides. RefSeq lists it as uncharacterized. The record is from RefSeq and is a predicted model, not a curated record. Lineage: Eukaryota; Metazoa; Chordata; Aves; Strigiformes; Tytonidae. The transcript has 6 exons.